UACGGAGGGUGCAAGCGUUGUUCGGAAUCACUGGGCGUAAAGCGCGUGUAGGCGGCCUCUUAAGUCUGGUGUGAAAGCCCGGGGCUCACCCCCGGAAGGGCACUGGAUACUGGGAGGCUAGAGUACCGGAGAGGAGGGUGGAAUUCCUGGUGUAGCGGUGAAAUGCGUAGAUAUCAGGAGAAACACCGGUGGCGAAGGCGGCCCUCUGGACGGCUACUGACGCUGCGGCGCGACAGCGUGGGGAGCAAACCGG
RNAcentral lists this ribosomal RNA (253 nucleotides) under uncultured bacterium. RNAcentral's name for it is "partial 16S ribosomal RNA". It matches the Rfam family "Bacterial small subunit ribosomal RNA", at positions 524 to 776 of the family's 1533-position model. The record is from RNAcentral.